Molecule: long non-coding RNA, 1305 nt
Organism: Odontomachus brunneus
Lineage: Eukaryota; Metazoa; Arthropoda; Insecta; Hymenoptera; Formicidae
Exons: 3
Source: RefSeq, a predicted model, not a curated record
GAACUUACACAAGCGAGCGCCCGUGUCCGUUUGACGUUCCGAACGUCGCGAGUCUUCCUUACUUUUCUCAAUGUCUCUGCGAAGUAAGCGACGGAUAAACUCAGGCUCAUCGUCCUCGAGGAAAAUGACUACACUUUGUGUGAAAUCUGUGAUCGAUGAAUCCGAAAUAAACGCGGCCACAUCGUGGAGUAUGUUGUCCUCCUCGUGACAGCCGUUUACAAAUGUGUACUCGCGCGCGCGCACGCAUACGUGUGGUAUAUGUGUAUGAACUGGGAAUGUAUGAUUACACAGUGGAUAACUAUUUCGAUAGUCAAUGUCAAUGGGACAUAUGAGUGGAAAACGAAGCGAAUGCUCGUUUGAAGGCAUUAAAUGUUCGCUCUAGCCUGGAAGUAUAAAGGCAAAAAUGUAGAUUGUCAUCUAUCUUUUGUCUUUUCUAUGAGAUAUUUGUCUUGUACUUUUAAAGAUACUUGUCUUUUAAAUGUUAUUAAUAUUAAUCGUUAAUAAUAUCCCUGAAAAUACUUGUCAACUAUAAAAUAUAAUUUCUAUUCUUUAUUCCUUCUAUUACAUUAUAAUACUUUGUGUUUUGUGUUGAAGAGCAAAAUUGUUUCUACUUUAAACACGAGUAAAUAUUGCGAUCAGCAAUUUUCUUUGAAUUAGUUUAUCCUGUAAUGUUGAAUAGUUAUGUUGCAUUGUUCAAAAUACUGUAUUUACUGUAAGAUACUGGGUUAGUCAAAUCAAGGAAUGUUUCUGAUUGCAGAAUCUGCUCAUAUGCUUAAUUGUAUAUCACAAGGAGAAGAAUCUACUGAGCCUCUGUAUAUACAGUGACUUCAUUCGUCUUUUCAAAAUAUAAAUGAGCGAUAUACAGACAGCUCGUAUCUUCAAAAUGGUGUGAGCUGUCAUAAACCUCCUGUUGUUCCCAGUAAUGAGUUACACACGUCUUGUGUUGCGCCACAAUGAGCGCUACUAUACGAUUUCAUACAGUGGGUUGAUUGAGGAUUGUUAGCAUACAACACUGCGUGCGACGCAUAUAAUUUAAAUCACGAGGACAAAGAUACCAUCUCUGGGGGCAGAUAAUCUAAAGUGCCACAUAAAGUAUCCCUUCGAGAAGAAGGAGCGUGUACAGACCACCCAAAAUCAGCUAUCUUUAAUUCACCAUAUGCUCCAAGAAGUAAAUUCUCAGGUUUAAUGUCACGGUGGAUAACUUUCUUACUAUGACAGUAUUUUAAUGCAUCUGCUAAUUGCGCCAUGUAAGUGGCUGUUCUGUAAAUGUAUAAAUUUGAAAAUAAUUACACAGCUAUUCAUACA